Molecule: RNA transcript, 2873 nt
Organism: Toxorhynchites rutilus septentrionalis
Lineage: Eukaryota; Metazoa; Arthropoda; Insecta; Diptera; Culicidae
Gene: Sol1
Gene name: cubilin
Exons: 10
Source: RefSeq, a predicted model, not a curated record
GCCGUUCGAAUCGGUCCAUAGUUGCGCGUUCCUAGAGUCCACCAUUCGAUCCGAUCCGAUCCAUUCGCCGCCCACUUUGGGGACACUCGAGGAGGACGCGUGUUUUGGCGCGUUUCAAUUUCCCGUGCGAGGUCAAAAUCGUGCUCCGCUGGUGGCUAGACGCGGACGGGACGGGAGUAAACACAUGGCGCUGUGUGGGUAGGUGGGAUAGUGGGGAAAGUGGCGAAGACGCCGAGCAGGCAGUCGGUCGGGCACUCGCGGCCCUGCCAUUGGCGCGGGUGGAAGAAUGCUUUGCAUGUUGUGAUUUACAUUUUUGCAACAUUCGAGUUCCUGCAUCAAGAAGAAGAAGACGAAGAAGAAUAUCAUGUUCAUCGUGCGGCUGGAGUGAUGCUGAUAGCAGCCGUACAGCAUAGUGCAUGGUGUAGAGUGUAAGUGGACCGUUAAAAUCUUCAAUCAUCCGAAAGAGAGGAGGAUCCGCACGAAGCGCGUGAAUAAUGAAACACAGUCAUCAAUUAGUGAAAGUGACAAAUUUCAUAUUUUGUUUAACGUUGGUGUGGCUGCAGGAUGUCCCACUGGUGGGACGAGGAAGCGCGGAAGUGGCGGGAAAAGCGACGACGGGAACAGAGUAUCUGCCAUCGAUUAGUUCAGAGGGAGCGAUCGGAAGCACCGGUGGAAAUUACGCCAUAGCUGAGCCCUAUAAGAGCUCGCCUCCCCACUGCACCAGGGCGGUCUUCAGCUCGGCCCGUAUCCGAAACGGCAGCAUCGCACCGUCCCACUCAAAGCAUUCGGGACUCUUCCCGUCGGCCAUUUGCUACCAGUACGAAUUCAUCGGCGAGGGAGCCGAACGGAUACAGAUCAUAUUCUCCGAGUUUCGGUUGCCCUCCAAGCUGGAACCGAACGAAUGCGGCGAGACAGAUAUCCUGAUGGUGCUUUUUCAACUGGACGGUAGAGAUGAAGUGGUCGAGACACUCUGCGGGGACACGCUACCCAAGCCCAUCCUUUCCAACGGACCCCGGCUUCUGCUGGAGUUCCGUAGCAGCUUCAACAACACCGAGAACAAAGGAUUCACAGCGGAUUUUUUCUUCCUGACAAAUUUUGGCAUCUCUGCCGGACACCAACCGAACCAAUCGGAAUGCACCUUCCACUUCUUCAAGAAUGCCUCCAACCAGGGCUGGAUCCAAUCGCCAAAUUUUCCCGGUGCCUACCCAAGAAAUAUUCGCUGCAACUACUUCUUCUAUGGUGACCCGCUCGAUUAUGUCCUCAUCCGGUUUACCUAUUUCGACAUCGAAGGAAUCGCCCCCUGCGACGAGAACUCCGCCAGCGAUUUCGUGGAGUUUUCUAAUUUUAUCACCCGCGAUCGCAAGUUCGCGCUGUACUGCGGCCUGCGACGGGAUCUGAUCGUGCGCUCCGAUGGCAAGUUUUUCCGCGUCACCAUGGUCUCGAACGAUCGGCUCGACGGGACGGGCUUCCGGGCACUGUACGCGUUCGAGAGCAGCAUCACGGCCGUCAUGAUGGGAUCGGCGGCACCGGGCGGAGACGCUGGCCGGUCGGGAAGAGUCGUCGGACCGGCGGCAGGUGUUCCAUACCCCUCGCAGCAGCACCACCUCCUGACGAAGGCGGCACGGAACGUUGCCACCACGCUGGCGAAGAUCGGCAUCCUAGGGGCAGCCUCACACUCGAGUGGCGUUCUCCUGAUGCUGGCCUCAGUUUUAAUCGCAUCCGUACAGGGAGCAUCACAGCUGGUCACAACCAUUCCCUGUCGCCAUCAUCCGUUCCUCCCGCUGCUGAUACAACUACUGCUUCCGGUGGUUGUUGCGGUGGUGGGAAUAACACCCACGAUUCUAAUAGGCUGACUGUCGCCACAGCACCUGCAACGAUGAUGAAGAUGUCUCGGUUUGCAGCGAUGAACUGUUGGCUGCGAUGCCAAUGGCCUUUUCGCGGAUUCCCGCAACCAAGAAAGUAAACAAACAUCACUCGCUUGGAGGAUUUCAUGUGGGAUUGUGGUGCAAGUGCUGGGAAAAUGUACAUCAUCCCAAGCCCAAAUGUGCGGAUGGUGUGUUCCGAACUGUGAACUGUGUGAGUGACACAUUGAAGCAUGUUUCGCAGGAGAAUAACUAUCAAAACCUCAAUGUUUAAUGUGCAGCACCAUAAAAGCGGAUGCGAAUGUUGCGUCCCCAUUCGUAAGGUAUUAUUUGUUUUACGCACAAAAGAUCACCAUGAUGAGAAAAAUUUGAAUGCAACAAAAAAGCCCAUUUAAUUUAGCAUGUUGCAUCAUGAGAAAGCAUCCCACAGUAUGUGUACAAGAGCUGAAAAAAGACCACUGUAGCGAAAUUAGUUUUUCCCUUUGAUCUGAACCUACCCCAAAUUGUGAUACGAUGGCGACGAUUGAACAGCGAGGGAGGAGCACGAAAGUGCCUCCCUCACAUACCCACAUACACACCCACACACAUCAAUGAGAGCACUGUGUGAUUUAGCGAACCUCGCGCUCGGGAAAAGCGAAACUACACUAACCAAACAAAUAUUAGUUUUUCAUCUCCUCGCAUUCCCUCGCGCACUAGUGAGUAAACCCCCAGCCCCAGCAGAACACGGUGCGUUCCUCGCGCUCUCACGGAAACUUCCUCCCUCAGCCACCUCAAACCCCCCGGGGGAGGCACAGCGCAACCACACGGCACUUUGUAUCCCGUUUUCCUCCAUUCAGUGGAGGAUGGCGAUGUGUGCUUUUUUCGCUCUCCCUUCCAGACGCAGCGGGCCGCCAUACUCCAAGCGAUGGAAAAUUUUCCUCCCAACUCACGUCAUGCAUCGGUGGAAGCGAAAAACCGCUCAUUAAGAUAUAUGAACUCAUUAGAGUCUCCAAAAGGCACGGACGUAAUUGG